RNAcentral lists this ribosomal RNA (474 nucleotides) under uncultured Aspergillus. RNAcentral describes it as "bacterial SSU rRNA". It matches the Rfam family "Eukaryotic small subunit ribosomal RNA", at positions 539 to 1023 of the family's 1831-position model. The record is from RNAcentral. Lineage: Eukaryota; Fungi; Ascomycota; Eurotiomycetes; Eurotiales; Aspergillaceae.
UAUUUGGAGGGCAAGUCUGGUGCCAGCAGCCGCGGUAAUUCCAGCUCCAAUAGCGUAUAUUAAAGUUGUUGCAGUUAAAAAGCUUGUAGUUGAACCUUGGGUCUGGCUGGCCGGUCCGCCUCACCGCGAGUACUGGUCCGGCUGGACCUUUCCUUCUGGGGAACCUCAUCCCUUUCACUGGCUGUGGGGGGAACCAGGACUUUUACUGUGAAAAAAUUAGAGUGUUCAAAGCAGGCCUUUGCUCGAAUACAUUAGCAUGGAAUAAUAGAAUAGGACGUGCGGUUUUAUUUUGUUGGUUUCUAGGACCGCCGUAAUGAUUAAUAGGGAUAGUCGGGGGCGUCAGUAUUCAACUUCAGAGGUGAAAUUCUUGGAUUUAAUUAAGAAUAACUAAUUUGAAAGCCUUUGCCAUGGAAGCAUCCCUAACCAGGUUAGGAGAGCAAGUGAGGCGCAUGACAGGUUCAGGACCCUCUAUGU